Non-coding RNA from Podarcis lilfordi (Lilford's wall lizard), 161 nucleotides. The record is from the annotation of a GenBank genome assembly. NCBI's taxonomy places the organism in Eukaryota, Metazoa, Chordata, Lepidosauria, Squamata, Lacertidae.
CUCAUCCGCCCUGGAGACUGAAGUUAGCACAGCUUAACCACAGAGACAGGUGCAGUUUUGCUUACAGUGAUCUGCCAUGUAGUUCAGCUCUGACCUUAGAGAAUUGCCUCAGGCCUAAGGGGGAUACUUCAGUCUCUGUGCCUGCUGACUCAUUGGCAUCC